AGGACGAACGCUGGCGGCGUGCUUAACACAUGCAAGUCGAGCGGUAAGGCCUUUCGGGGUACACGAGCGGCGAACGGGUGAGUAACACGUGGGUGAUCUGCCCUGCACUUCGGGAUAAGCCUGGGAAACUGGGUCUAAUACCGGAUAUGACCUCAGGUUGCAUGACUUGGGGUGGAAAGAUUUAUCGGUGCAGGAUGGGCCCGCGGCCUAUCAGCUUGUUGGUGGGGUAAUGGCCUACCAAGGCGACGACGGGUAGCCGACCUGAGAGGGUGACCGGCCACACUGGGACUGAGACACGGCCCAGACUCCUACGGGAGGCAGCAGCGGGGAAUAUUGCACAAUGGGCGAAAGCCUGAUGCAGCGACGCCGCGUGAGGAUGACGGCCUUCGGGUUGUAAACCUCUUCAGCAGGACGAAGCGCAAGUGACGGUACCUGCAGAAGAAGCACCGGACUAACUACGUGCCAGCAGCCGC
RNAcentral lists this ribosomal RNA (473 nucleotides) under uncultured soil bacterium. Its description in RNAcentral is "bacterial SSU rRNA". It matches the Rfam family "Bacterial small subunit ribosomal RNA", at positions 26 to 518 of the family's 1533-position model. The record is from RNAcentral.